RNAcentral lists this small nuclear RNA (84 nucleotides) under Echinops telfairi (small Madagascar hedgehog). RNAcentral's name for it is "U4 spliceosomal RNA (ENSETEG00000021411.1)". It matches the Rfam family "U4 spliceosomal RNA", at positions 1 to 83 of the family's 138-position model. From Rfam's summary of the family: U4 small nuclear RNA (U4 snRNA) is a component of the major U2-dependent spliceosome. Lineage: Eukaryota; Metazoa; Chordata; Mammalia; Afrosoricida; Tenrecidae. The record is from RNAcentral.
AGCUUUGCGCAGUGGCAAUAUUGUAGUCAAUGAGGUGUACUCGAGGCGCGAUUAUUGCUAAUUGAAAACUUUUCCCAAGGGUUC